UGAGGAACAUGACCUUCGGCGGGGGAUAGCCGGCCCAACGGCCGGGUAAUACCGCGUACGACCACAUGGGGACAUCCCUGAGUGGUGAAAGCAGCAAUGCGCCGAUGGAGUGCCUCGCGGCCUAUCAGCUAGUUGGUGAGGUAACGGCUCACCAAGGCGACGACGGGUAGCUGGUCUGAGAGGAUGGCCAGCCACAUUGGGACUGAGACACGGCCCAGACCUGUAACCGGGGAGG
RNAcentral lists this ribosomal RNA (235 nucleotides) under uncultured bacterium. Its description in RNAcentral is "partial 16S ribosomal RNA". It matches the Rfam family "Bacterial small subunit ribosomal RNA", at positions 118 to 348 of the family's 1533-position model. The record is from RNAcentral.